Molecule: ribosomal RNA, 274 nt
Filed under: uncultured bacterium
Lineage: Bacteria
Description: partial 16S ribosomal RNA
Rfam family: Bacterial small subunit ribosomal RNA
Source: RNAcentral
ACACGUAGGAGGCGAGCGUUAUCCGGAUUCACUGGGCGUAAAGCGCGUGCAGGCGGUUCGGCAAGUUGUGCGUGAAAGCUCCCGGCUCAACCGGGAGAGGUCGUGCAAUACUGCCGGACUAGAGGACGGUAGAGGGAGGUGGAAUUCCCGGUGUAGUGGUGAAAUGCGUAGAUAUCGGGAGGAACACCAGUGGCGAAGGCGGCCUCCUGGACCGUUCCUGACGCUCAGACGCGAAAGCUAGGGGAGCGAACGGGAUUAGAAACCCUAGUAGUCC